GUGGGGAAUAUUGGACAAUGGGCGAAAGCCUGAUCCAGCAAUGCCGCGUGAGUGAAGAAGGCCUUAGGGUUGUAAAGCUCUUUUACCCGGGAAGAUAAUGACUGUACCGGGAGAAUAAGCUCCGGCUAACUCCGUGCCAGCAGCCGCAGUAAUACGGAGGGAGCUAGCGUUGUUCGGAAUCACUGGGCGUAAAGCGCACGUAGGCGGCUUUGUAAGUUAGAGGUGAAAGCCCGGGGCUCAACUCCGGAACUGCCUUUAAGACUGCAUCGCUUGAAUCUGGGAGAGGUAAGUGGAAUUCCGAGUGUAGAGGUGAAAUUCGUAGAUAUUCGGAAGAACACCAGUGGCGAAGGCGGCUUACUGGACCAGAAUUGACGCUGAGGUGCGAAAGCGUGGGGAGCAAACAGGAUUAGAAACCCCUGUAGUCC
RNAcentral lists this ribosomal RNA (425 nucleotides) under uncultured bacterium. Its description in RNAcentral is "partial 16S ribosomal RNA". It matches the Rfam family "Bacterial small subunit ribosomal RNA", at positions 354 to 796 of the family's 1533-position model. The record is from RNAcentral.